Long non-coding RNA from Papaver somniferum (opium poppy), 509 nucleotides. RefSeq lists it as uncharacterized. The transcript is spliced from 2 exons. NCBI's taxonomy places the organism in Eukaryota, Viridiplantae, Streptophyta, Magnoliopsida, Ranunculales, Papaveraceae. The record is from RefSeq and is a predicted model, not a curated record.
UUAAAUUCUGUACAGUAAUUCAGCCAAAUUUUUCUCCGUUUCAGUUGAGUGUUCUUAACCAGUUCCUGAAACUUGUAUAUACACUUCAAUAUAGUUGGAAGCUUGUGUUCACCCUUUUUUUGAUGAAUUGAGAGAUCCCAGCACUCGCCUUCCAAAUGGUAGCCCUCUUCCUGCACUCUUCAAUUUCAAACCACAAGAACUCUCGGGCAUAUCACCUCAUAUCCUCGGUCGACUAAUUCCUGAGCAUGCUAGAAAGCUGAACUUGUUCAUGGCGUUAAACAGUUAGUAUAUAAUGCUGAACUUGUUCAUGUGUAAGUUUUCCGUUUAGAGAAAGUGAGAAGAAAAGAGAGAUGGUCGUAAUGGAAAUAAAAAUUUCCCGACAUGUUUGUGAACCUAAUGUUUGAGUAUUUCUGGUAUAAUUGAUAUUGAGAUGUGUGAAGUUCUGUAUCCUUCUCUUUACCUGAAUACCGCAUGUGUAAGUUCCUCAUCAGAGAAAGUGAGAAAAAAAA